UACAGAGGGUGCGAGCGUUAAUCGGAAUUACUGGGCGUAAAGCGCGCGUAGGCGGCUUUGCAAGUCGGGUGUGAAAUCCCCAAGCUUAACUUGGGAACUGCAUUCGAGACUGCAUUGCUAGAGUAUGGGAGAGGGAAGUGGAAUUUCCGGUGUAGCGGUGAAAUGCGUAGAUAUCGGAAGGAACAUCAGUGGCGAAAGCGACUUCCUGGACCAAUACUGACGCUCAGGUGCGAAAGCGUGGGGAGCAAACAGG
This 253-nucleotide ribosomal RNA is filed under the name uncultured bacterium. RNAcentral describes it as "partial 16S ribosomal RNA". It matches the Rfam family "Bacterial small subunit ribosomal RNA", at positions 524 to 776 of the family's 1533-position model. The record is from RNAcentral.